Armigeres subalbatus is the source of this 338-nucleotide long non-coding RNA. RefSeq lists it as uncharacterized. The record is from RefSeq and is a predicted model, not a curated record. The transcript has 4 exons. Lineage: Eukaryota; Metazoa; Arthropoda; Insecta; Diptera; Culicidae.
UGCAAUUUAUGAUGCAACAACUGCAUUUCACAGGUGGGCAUUUUUAUUAUAAAAGCGCGGUAAGGUGAUUCAAUCACUCUUAUCGAUCGUGAUCUCUGAACAGAGUAGAAGUGCGCGCGUGUGUAGUGCUAGUAUUGUGAAGGUCUUAAAGCUAUUGUUAGUAAAAUGGAAAGAAUAGAAAAGUUUUAGUAAACAUGCAUAAUACAAAAAUUAGUACGCUAAAACGCAAAAGUUACUGUCCUUAAACUAAGUGACAAACAACAAAUAAUUUGAAGACAAACAAACAAGAAAAAGGUCCGGAAAGUGGACCUUUUUCUUCCGACCUUUCUUCUAUUUUC